This is a long non-coding RNA of Poecilia latipinna (sailfin molly), 1077 nucleotides long. RefSeq lists it as uncharacterized. The transcript has 2 exons. Lineage: Eukaryota; Metazoa; Chordata; Actinopteri; Cyprinodontiformes; Poeciliidae. The record is from RefSeq and is a predicted model, not a curated record.
AGUCAUUCUGUCCCCAGCACUUUGUUUUGGGACACUUUGCUUCUGAUAAGCGGAGGGUUCCAUCCUAGUCAGACAUCCUUGAGCCUGUUCUUCUGAAGCGAUGGUCACAUUGUUGUUCUUGUUGAUAAAAUGAAAAAUGUUUGCAGUGAGCAGCCUUAUCCCAUGUUUGUUAAGAUUGCGUCCUCCUCUUCCAAAGAGGUGAAAGCGCUGCCAGUAGAUCCAGAGGUUAUCAAUGAAGGUCACUGAUCUGGCAGAGCAGGUUUUAAUCAGCCAUUUGUUUAUCAUGUCCAGCCUGGAAUGUUUUUCGUCUCCCCAUUGAGGCGAUGGAAUUGGACUGCUGAGAAAUAACUUUGUUUUUAAUUUUCCCAUAGUGUCCAGAAGAAUAUUAAAGUCCUUUUUCAGAAUCUCCGAUUUUUGCUUUGCCAGAUCGUUGGCUCCAACAUGCACAACUAAAGUCUCCAUGUUUGGCUGAUCAGUGGUUAGAGAGAGCACUUUGCGAGUCAAAUCAGAUACAGUGUCACCAAGAAAAGAAACCACUCUCGUUUUCUUGGGAUUGCAAACAUGACUGAUUCCAUUUACUGUCUCAUCUCCAACAAUAAGCACUCUUGGCAUACCUUUUGUUUUCCUGGUGGUCACUUUGUCCUUCGGAGCUUUGUGGGGUGGAUGUGUUGGUUUAGCCUCAUUGCUGAUGUUUGAAGGUGGGUUUUCACUCAGAGGCUCAGGCUGGAGUGCAGAAAAUCUGUUUUUCAGUGGGAUUCCCACGGAGUCGGAAUGUUUUGAGGCUUGGGCUGGUCGCUUUGUCCUUGGGAGCGGGGUCGGUGUUGAAGUUGAAGGUGGGUUUCGGCUCAGAGCCGGCCACGCUGUUUCGUCCAGGUGAGGGGUUCUCCCCGUUAGUCGUCUCAUGGGAUCUGCAGUGUGAGACUUUUGUUUCGGCUUGGCGCCCUGAGCGAUCCAGGGUGAGCUGCUUGGUGCGGGGUGUACGACCUCUCCGCUGAUUUGAGGAAGAGUUGUUUCAUUUCCACAGGUAGCGUUGAUCUCAAAGUUCACCUCCAGCCGUUGAAUCUUCGUUUCUAAAAA